Molecule: unclassified non-coding RNA, 219 nt
Filed under: uncultured Actinomycetes bacterium
Lineage: Bacteria; Bacillati; Actinomycetota; Actinomycetes
Description: uncultured actinobacterium contains 16S-23S intergenic spacer region
Source: RNAcentral
UCCGGUUUGUCACCGGCAGUCUGGCGUGAGUCCCCAACUUAAUGCUGGCAACACGCCACGGGGGUUGCGCUCGUUGCGGGACUUAACCCAACAUCUCACGACACGAGCUGACGACAGCCAUGCACCACCUGUAUACCGACCACAAGGGGGGCCGUAUCUCUACGGCUUUCCGGUAUAUGUCAAACCCAGGUAAGGUGGGGAUGACGUUUCCAGGUUAGG